GCGAGAGUGGCGGAAUUGGCAGACGCGCUGGAUUUAGGAUCCAGUGGGGAAACCCGUGCAGGUUCGAGUCCUGUCUCUCGCA
RNAcentral lists this transfer RNA (82 nucleotides) under Planctomycetota bacterium. Its description in RNAcentral is "Planctomycetes bacterium tRNA-Leu". It matches the Rfam family "tRNA". From Rfam's summary of the family: Transfer RNA (tRNA) molecules are approximately 80 nucleotides in length. Their secondary structure includes four short double-helical elements and three loops (D, anti-codon, and T loops). Lineage: Bacteria; Pseudomonadati; Planctomycetota. The record is from RNAcentral.